This 91-nucleotide small nucleolar RNA is filed under the name Salix viminalis (osier). Lineage: Eukaryota; Viridiplantae; Streptophyta; Magnoliopsida; Malpighiales; Salicaceae. The record is from RNAcentral. RNAcentral also lists the same sequence under 1 other name.
UUUGGGCGUAUGAUGAAUCUCAUGUUUUUAUGGGUAAUUUGCGUCUGAAUUUAUAUUGAUGCUUUAUCACCUUGGAGAACUGAUGCCCUUU